CCUUGAGAACCCAGUGAGGUACCCAACCUGGCCCCCAACAAGCUGUACAAUGUAGUGAAAAACACCCAGGAGCAGAAAUCCCACCAAGCUAACCCUCUGAGUGGGUUCAUAGACCCUGUGUUCAGCACACAAAAACUGGCAAAGGCCUCAGCAGAGAAAAAAGUGUUUGCCUGUGAAGCUCCACUGAUGAUCACCACAGUGGCAGUGCCAAGCUGGAUACAGUUGGCUACUUAUGUGUUAACUACAAAGUCAUCUAAAUAUUGCUCUGAGCUACUCAACAUCCAGAAGAGGUUCUUCAGAUCUGCUCUCAGCCAUGCAGGUGCAGAAGGGAGCUAACUAUUACCAUCUGGUCUCUGGAACUAAGUUUGCAGAGGGAGCCAGAAAACAGACACCUGUUUGGCAUACCAUCUCACAAUAAAUCAUUGCCAAAU
Neopsephotus bourkii (Bourke's parrot) is the source of this 431-nucleotide long non-coding RNA. RefSeq lists it as uncharacterized. Lineage: Eukaryota; Metazoa; Chordata; Aves; Psittaciformes; Psittacidae. The record is from RefSeq and is a predicted model, not a curated record. The transcript has 2 exons.